Molecule: ribosomal RNA, 440 nt
Filed under: uncultured Leptospirillum sp.
Lineage: Bacteria; Pseudomonadati; Nitrospirota; Nitrospiria; Nitrospirales; Nitrospiraceae
Description: bacterial SSU rRNA
Rfam family: Bacterial small subunit ribosomal RNA
Source: RNAcentral
ACUUUUACUCGGGACGAAAAAGGGAUAUCAAAUAAAUAUCCCCGAUGACGGUACCGUGAGAAUAAGCCACGGCUAACUCUGUGCCAGCAGCCGCGGUAAGACAGAGGUGGCAAGCGUUGUUCGGAAUUACUGGGCGUAAAGAGUCUGUAGGUGGUUUGUCAAGUCUUUGGUGAAAGGCCGUAGCUUAACUAUGGGAAUGCCAAAGAGACUGGCAGGCUGGAGGCUGGGAGAGGGAAGCGGAAUUUCUGGUGUAGCGGUGAAAUGCGUAGAUAUCAGAAGGAAGGCCGGUGGCGAAGGCGGCUUCCUGGAACAGUCCUGACACUGAGAGACGAAAGCGUGGGGAGCAAACAGGAUUAGAUACCCUGGUAGUCCACGCCCUAAACGAUGGGUACUAAGUGUGGAGGGGUUAAACCCUCCGUGCCGCAGCUAACGCAGUAAGU